GUGUUCCUAACACCACUGCAGAGCAGCUAACGGCAAGCAAAGACUUGGAGUCCUUGCAUCGGUCGUCGUCUAGUACACCAACGCCCUACCAGCCACCAAGUGUCUCCAUUGAGAGGGAACAAAAGACAUCUGAUGAGACAAUCCAUGCCAUAGAAGUAGGCGAAGUAUCCGAAGACACCGGACUAACAGCGACAGCCCCUACAUCACGCCAAACAAAUCGUGAAGCUACAGGCGAAGGGUCUGAAGACACAGAGCUAACAGCACCCGUCCCUACAUCACGUCAGACA
Perca flavescens (yellow perch) is the source of this 287-nucleotide long non-coding RNA. RefSeq lists it as uncharacterized. The record is from RefSeq and is a predicted model, not a curated record. The transcript is spliced from 3 exons. NCBI's taxonomy places the organism in Eukaryota, Metazoa, Chordata, Actinopteri, Perciformes, Percidae.